This 184-nucleotide ribosomal RNA is filed under the name uncultured bacterium. RNAcentral describes it as "partial 16S ribosomal RNA". It matches the Rfam family "Bacterial small subunit ribosomal RNA", at positions 521 to 703 of the family's 1533-position model. The record is from RNAcentral.
UAAUACGUAGGGUGCGAGCGUUGUCCGGAAUUAUUGGGCGUAAAGAGCUCGUAGGCGGUGUGUCGCGUCGGUCGUGAAAACUUGGGGCUUAACCCUGAGCUUGCGGUCGAUACGGGCAUCACUGGAGUUCGGCAGGGGAGACUGGAAUUCCUGGUGUAGCGGUGAAAUGCGCAGAUAUCAGGAG